Molecule: transfer RNA, 78 nt
Filed under: bacterium
Lineage: Bacteria
Description: tRNA-Glu
Rfam family: tRNA
About the family: Transfer RNA (tRNA) molecules are approximately 80 nucleotides in length.
Source: RNAcentral
GGCGCCAUCGUCUAGUCUGGCCUAGGACGCUGGAUUUUCAUUCCAGUAACCGGGGUUCAAAUCCCCGUGGCGCUGCCA